CGUCCAUUGAAAACUUACUGUGCUCAAGGCACAGAACGGGGUAGUUUUAUACACAUUUCCCCAUUUGGAUUUUUCAAAGACAACAUCUAAUCAUCCCCAGAGAAAUUUCAGCUGAGAAGACAGGAUGAUGAAGUGCCCUGGGGGCCAGAGUCCAGACAAGUAUUUUGGCACCUCCAAGGACUGGCAGAACACAGAGAGGAAAAGAGAGACCCUGUUAUCUUUCCGCAGGGGUGGCCGUUCAAACUCUCAGAGAUGGAAGUUAAGAUUUCCUUUGGUAUAAGUGGCAGUUUGACUGGCUGCAAGGAGAGCCUCAGUUUGUUUAAUUUGGAGUAAAAUUUUAUGAGUUAAUCUCUAGUGAGGGAAAGCAGCAGUAAA
This is a long non-coding RNA of Gorilla gorilla gorilla (western lowland gorilla), 375 nucleotides long. The record is from Ensembl. NCBI's taxonomy places the organism in Eukaryota, Metazoa, Chordata, Mammalia, Primates, Hominidae.